Molecule: long non-coding RNA, 10583 nt
Filed under: Mytilus galloprovincialis (Mediterranean mussel)
Lineage: Eukaryota; Metazoa; Mollusca; Bivalvia; Mytilida; Mytilidae
Source: RNAcentral
GUUCAAGUAAGAUUAAAUGGAUCAUAUCUCAAUUCAUAAGCUGAUAAACAACGUCACCAUAAACAUAAACAUUCAUAUCCUGUUAGUUAUACGAUUCUACAUUUACAUUUACUUCCUACCAAAGUUUGUUUAUCUCUGAAGGAAUGCAGCAAAGGUUUUUACUUUUUGAUAACACUAUCACCAUAACAUAUUCAAUAGCUAGUUUUCAAUGAGUGUAUUAAGGACCAUGCUUUUAUAUUUAGAUAACAUGCACAAUUGGUUUGCUCAUCUCUUACAUUCAUACAACGUUGUAAUAUAUCACAGCAAUUUACUUAAAAUAUUCGCAUUGUGUUGUAGGGUUUCUGGAUGUUGACCAAAAUCCCGCUACAAAGUAAGUGUUCCUAUAUUAAUCAAAGCAAUCAUGGGUUUCCAUUCAAUACUUUCCUCAUUAAAAUGUUUCUUUUAUCAAUCGUAUGUAAAUGACAUCUGUCAUAAUCGACUAAAUGCCUAAAUCUACUUGUUUCAGUACCUUGCUUAUCCUUGUUGAUAAGCGCUUUUUGCAUUAAAAAUGAUUUGCCACAUAUCCCAAGCAAACCCAUGAUCAAUAUUUGAAACAAUGUACGUUAUCAUUGAACAUCAGAGAGGGUAAAGGACAAAUUAGUCCAACUGUCUAAUUGUCGAGCCUGCAACUUUUGUUGCAGAAAGCUCGACAUAGGGAUAGUGAUCCGGCGGCGGCGGCGGCUACGGCGGCGGCGUUAGCUAACUUCUUAAAAGCUUUAUAUUUUAGAAGGUGGAAGACCUGGAUGCUUCAUACUUUGUAUAUAGAUGCCUCAUGUUACGAAGUAUCCGUCAGUCACAUGUCCAAUGUCCUUGACCUGAUUUUUAUGGUUCAGUGACCACUUGAAAAAAAAGUUCAGAUUUUUUGUAAUGUUGAAUUCUCUCUUAUUAUAAGUAAUAUGAUAACUAUAUUUGAUAUGUGCGUACCUUGCAAGGUCCUCAUGUCUGUCAGACAGUUUUCACUUGACCUCGACCUAAUUUCAUGAAUCAGUGAACAAGGUAAAGUUUUGGUGGUCAAGUCCAUAUCUCAGAUACUAUAAGCAAUAGGGCUAGUAUAUUCGGUGUAUGGAAGGACUGUAAGGUGUACAUGUCCAACUGGCAGGUGUCAUUUGACCUUGACCUCGUUUUCAUGGUUCAGUGGUUAUAGUUAAAUUUUUGUGUUUUGGUCUGUUUUUCUCAUACUAUAUGCAAUAGGUCUACUAUAUUUGUUGUAUGGAAUGAUUGUAAGGUGUACAUGUCUAGCGGGCAGAUGUCAUGUGACCUUGACCUCAUUUUCAUGGUUCAGUGGUCAAAGUUAAGUUUUUGAGUUUUGGUCUUUUUAUCUAAUUCUAUAUGCCAUAGGUCAACUAUAUUUGGUGUAUGAAAAUAUUUUAUGAUCUUUAUGUCAGUCGCGCAGGUUUUAUUUGACCGUGACCUCAUUUUCAGGGAUGAUUGCACAGUGUUAAGUUUUUGUGUUUUGGUCUAUUUUUCUUAAACUACAAGUAAUAGGUCAACUAUAUAUGUUGUAGAGAAGCAUUGUUAGCUGUAUAUGUCUGCUUGGCAGGGUUUAUCUGACCUUGACCUCAUUUUCAAGGUUCAUUGGUCUUUGUUUAGUUAUCUUGGUUAAUGUUCUGUUUGUGUGAUAGUUGUAAUAAAGCUUAGCUUUAUACUUAGGACUAUCAACAUAAUAUCAAUGAUUAGUAAAGAAGGCGAGACAUUUCAGCGUGUGCACUCUUGUUUGUUAAAUGGCAUCAUCGUACUGAGUGUACGAAUAGCUUGCAAUUAGUUUUGAUAACUAGCAGCGUCAUUAUUGCAAUUAGAAUGUUUGAAAUAGUUAUCAAAAGUACCAGGAUUAUAAUUUAGUACGCCAGACGCGCGUUUCGUCUACAUAGGACUCAUCAGUGACGCUCAUAUCAAAAUAGUUAUAAAGCCUUACAAUAUAAAAGCUGAAGAGCAUAGAGGAUCCAAAAUUCCAAAAAGUUGUGCAAAAUACGGCUAAGGUAAUCUAUUCCUGGGACAAGAAAAUCCUGAGUUUUUCGAAAAAUUCAAAGUUUUGUAUGAGGAAAUUUAAAGAAAUGAUCACAUAAUUGAUAUUCAUGUCAACAUCGAAGUGCUGACUACUGGGCUGGUGAUACCCUCGGGGACGAAACGUCCACCAGCAGUGGCAUCGACCCAGUGGUGUAAAUAGCUAUCAAAAGUACCAGAAUUAUAAUUUAGUACGCCAGACGCGCGUUUCGUCUACAUAAGACUCACCAGUGACGGUCAUAUCAAAAUAGUUAUAAAGCCAAACAAUAUAAAAGUUGAAGAGCAUAGAGGAUCCAAAAUUCCAAAAAGUUGUGCCAAAUACGGCUAACGUAAUCUAUUCCUGGGACAAGAAAAUCCUUAGUUUUUCGAAAAUUCAAAGUUUUGUAUCAGGAACUUUAUAAAAAUGAUCACAUAAUUGAUAUUCAUGUCAACACCGAAGUGCUGACUACUGGACUGGUGAUACCCUCGGGGACGAAACGUCCACCAGCAGUGGCAUCGACCCAGUGGUGUCAAUAGUUAUCAAAAGUACCAGGAUUAUAAUUUAGUACGCCAGACGCGCGUUUCGUCUACAUAAGACUCAUCAGUGACGCUCAUAUCAAAAUAGUUAUAAAGCCAAACAAUAUAAAAGUUGAAACUUGUCCUUUAUAGGCAUUUCGGUUGCCGGUUGGUCCAAGAAGAUGUCUUUUAUAUUUCAAUGGGGUUCCUGUUCUCUUAAUUUAGUUUGCCUUAAGCAAAUGUUAUGAAACUAACCCCAUGCUUAUUUUCACAAAAUAUAAUUUGUGUGGUGUCUCUUUUAUUGUGAUAGAGUUACAACCCUUUACAAAUGGUAUAAUUGUUUAAUUUUCGUUUUCAUUCUCAACCAAAUGUUAUGAAACUUAUACAUAAUAGUAAUUGCCAUACAAAUCAGAUUUAGUACAAAUUCGGGCAACGCCGUUUGUACCGUUUUGCAGUUGAGUCCCUUUUCAAUUUUAUAUGAUAUAGCGGAAGCAUCAUAAUUGUCCAAUGAACACAUUCGCCAUUUAAUUUUUAAUUUUAUAUUAUCUUGAGCUUAAUACUGAAAAUUAAAAUAUUCUUUUAAUAAUAUACUUCAUAAUAUUUGUUUUGCAUACUCAAACAGAUAACAGAUCCCAAUACACACCAGCACAGUGGUCCGCAGUGAUCCCUAACACCAGAUUUGUUUUUGUUAAUUGUAUCCAAUUUAAGCCGUCAGUUGUUUUUUUGUCGCUUGAAUAGUGUCAUAUGUUUUUCAUGUUUGAGCCUUUUAUAACCAGCUAGUAUAUGGAACGAUUGUUUUGGCCAUUUUUCAAGGUCUUUAUGCAAAGGAGGACUUUCAAUUGCUUUUAACUUCGUAAUUCGAACUCCGAUAGACAUUUGAGUCAUUGAUACUCAUACCACAUCUUUUUAGUAAUACAUGUGUACUAAAAAUUUAGAAAAUUUAUACAACUACAGUAUGUAUAUACGAUUCGAAAAUUCUGUUCGUACUUUCUUUGACCGAUCACAAAAAGUUGUAAGAUGCAAUGUUCGUGACAUCUAGAUCAAAUAGCAAGAAUUAACAAUUUAAAUCUUGCAAGAACUACAAGUUUUAGCAUCCACAUUUCCCCCCCCCCCCAAAAUCAUGUACAACCUAAUAAAAAUAUUGAUCAAUUCAAACAAACACCUAUUAUACAUGUUUUGAAAUAGAAUAUGCAGUCUUGUUAGAAUGUAGAAUUUAUAGAGAAAAGUUCUGGAAGAAUGAUAAAAUAGCUGUAAAAGCAACGUAAUUCUUUUGAAUCAAUCAAUGAUUGUUUGGCUAUAAAAAAAUAAUCUUUUGUUUGUCGGCCAAUGGUAUUUAUUAACUAAGAUUAUAGAUAAAUUAUUUUCGAAUAUUAUAUUCUUUCCUGAGCGCCUACAGUCAUCCACAUUAUUAUAUCAAACCCUGUGGUAGAGUUUUUUUAGGACCGUUUUCGUUUGUUCGCCUGCUUUGUAUUUGUCAAGGAGUUACAAUCAUCUGUCAAAAAAAAUUAGUGAUUAAUUGAAAGUAUACAAAGAUGGUCUGUCAAUAAAUACGAUUAAUUUUUUAUGAAACAAAUUGUGUGUCAAAAAAUAUGUUUUCAAGUAUUUUUAACAUAAACAUUGAUAAAGCAGACCAUUAUUAUUUUUUGGCGAAAAAUUUUCUUUAUUUUUGAGCAAAUCAUUAUUAUUUCAUUAAAUAUAGGGUUUACCUUUGUUUUGCCAAAGGUUUUUUUUUUUUUUUUUUAAAGUUUAUAAUCAUAUCCUUAUUUAUCUAUCUAUUGAUUUUGUAUUUUAGCAGGUUGACUUUUUAAAACAUGAACAAAACUUUCAAUCUAUGCUUUGCACCAAAAACAACAAAGUGAAUAUUAAGGAAUGUUCGAAAGAUGUUUGUUCAUGCUAACCAUUACCAUGAAACUUAAAUUAAAAUUUCGAAAUUCCACGCCUUAAAUUCCAUCUAAAAUCAUCACCUUCUUCCGAUCUUUUUUUUCACGUUCUCUUCAAAAUAAUAUCUGCUGUAUAUACCAUAUGUACUGUACAUACAACUGAAAACCUUUUUUUCUGGCUGAUUGCAGUGUCUUAGCAACUUUGUGAUUGAAAUUAAUUGAUGAUUCAAAAUUCAUUAGCACUCAAUACAUUCUAUUUUUCGUUUUGUGGUUAUAAAUAGUUGAAUAACAAUGUUUUUUUCCUAUCAAUUUUAACUCAUUUGAUUGAAAUAUCUGAUUAAAGGCGUGGUUUAUUAAAGAUAUAUCAUUGAUAUUUUAAUGAUCAUUUGAUAAUUGUUUUUUAUUGAUUUGUUUUUAAUGCUUCCUAAUUUCUUAUACUCAAGACAGAAUUGCAAUUGCUCUGACAUAUUUUUGAAAUAAGAACUGCCCUUCCCUGAUUUAAGAUCUUGAAUCGAGCGAAUUUGAACCGUUCAUAUAAUUUAAAACCCGGUAAGAAGAUUUUGCAACUAAUUGGCUUUCUUAUUCAUAUUAUUGUAUAUGAUUUAGAUGUGUGUGAAGUUUGUGCAUUACAAUACUUUUUUUAUCAUUAACAUCACUUUACUAAACUGAGUUCAGUAAUUUCAAAUUAUUUAACGGUACUUUUUUUUCAUACAUCAAAUAUGAGUUCACUCACAAAGAUUUAGAUGGAGGAGGUCCAAUACCUAUUAAAGAUAGUUUUUCAAUAUCGCAUAUUAAUAUUGCUACCAAUAGUGAGAUGUCUCGUAAAAAUGCACAUGCUAUUUAUGAUUUUACGGUAGACAAGUCUUAUUGAGACAAACGUAUAUGAAAUUAAAAAUUGUGCUUUGUCUCUACGCCUUUUGUUUUUAUUUGUUACAUAUUUCUUUGUUUUAAAGUGUUAAGAUUGUAACUCAAUGUUGGCUGCUUUACCCCUAUUUGUUUUAUAUUUCUACCCAUGUGUGUGGCUGUUAUACCAGUAAGAAGGUUACCUAGAUAUAAAACCAUGACUGUUUAAUUCACCAUUUUCUACAUAAAAAAUGCUGUACCAAGUCAGGAAUAUGACAGUUGUUAUCCUUUGGAUGUGUUGGUGGCUUCUAAAGAAUCCACGUUAUAAUGGUAGAACGAAUGACGUUUAAACAUCGAUACGUAUAAAUGAUUAUUACAUAGACAUUGUUAACGUCAUAAAUAUAUGUACACAUCUCGCAAUUAAAUUUAGGAAGUCUCUUUAUCUUAAACACCAGUUUUCUAUUUGUACUUACCAGAACAUCUUGGCUGAAGUCAUCUUUUAAAUUAAAUUUAACAUAGAAGUUUCAUCGUAACAGUCUGUUUCGCAACAUGAACACUCGUGUUUAUCCAAUAAUUCACCAUUAGUUUUUAGAUAUUAUGCGCGCAUUAAAGGGAACAAUUACAAGCUGUAUAAAAGCUGUAGAUGUUCCUAAUUUUUUUUUUAUAGGAAAUCGCAAAUAAAUGCAAGCGUACUAUAAGCAGAAUUAGAUUAAAUUCCAGUCGACGGUUUUUGUUAAUUCUGAAUUUAACAUUUUUUUUUGGGAAAACAGAAUCAUGGAUUCAUUGCUUUUGCAUGCACCUAUGUAUUGAAAAUAGAGUUCAUAUUGGUAAAAAAAUAAGUCAUUUCUUCACCAUUGUGAUUUUGUUUAAUGAUUGGAAUUUCAAAACAACUUCGUUAUUUUUAUCUCUAAAGAAGUCGCUUCCCACUAUCCUACGGCCUGUCGAUACAUUUAUUAUUGGCAUUGCACAAGUCAUGUCUUCUUUGACUUUUCAUGAUGUUAAGAUACUAAAUCCCUGGGAUGUGUUUUAGUUGAUUUCAGUCUCUGACGCAUGAUUUUUUUUAUUAUUAAUUGUUUUUGGCUUUUAACUAGCUGCCAGUAACUGCGAGUACUCUCAAAUCGUACUUUCUUGUUGAAUGAAUGAAUUAAUAUAUUUUAUUGCAGAAGCAAACAUAAUGCUAUAGCAAAAUAACAUAAUAUACAAUUACAAUAAUGACAGUAAACAAACAGAGAACAACACAAUAUGGUGAUAAUAAGCACAUAAUUACAACUGCUAUACAAUGAUUAUUGUGAUCUUAACUUCUAUGCCGCUAUAAGAAAUUUACACAAUUGUUCAGUUAAACUCUUUGAGCUAGCCUGUAAAAGAAAUACAUCUUUCUAUUAGUUGGCCAUGAAAAAUAAUAUUUUGGUAAAAACUGUAGUCUCAAUGAUCUAACGGUGGUACAUACAAGAACAACAUGGUACUCGUUUUCAAUACAAUUCAUAUGACAGAAUAUACAUAUACGAUUUUCUCUUACAAUAUUGUAAACGACCAACUUCAAUAUUUAGUUUUAAUGUUCCACUACGCAGUCUAGUCAGUAUAUUACUACAAAAAUCAUAAUUUUAGUAAUCUUCUAAACAAAACUCAUUUUUCAAUGUUCUAUGUAAACACAAUUUUUCACAACCGUUCAAAGUAGUAAAUUGGUCAUUUAUACGACAUUUUAUAUAUUCAAAUGCAACAUUAGUGUUCUCUUGAUCAUUCCAUACAUAAUUCAUACCUAGACUAAAUAAUAAAUCACGAACAUGUGAUACAAGUUUCUCUUGUUUCUCUUGCCAUUUGAGGUAUCAAUGCGGAGGAGGUUAUAAAUAUCAUAUACCAUAUUAGGUUUAUCAUAUAUUAUAUGCAACCAAAACUUUAUAAUUCUAUGUUUCCUUAAAAUGAACAGAGGUAGAUGACCAAGUUCACCACACAAAAAGGCGAAUUGGUACAUUUUUACCAAGCUUUAAUAUAAAACGACAAAAACGAUUAUGAACGAGUUCAAUUGCAUUGGCUCGAUGAAAUCCCCAAAUUUCAGAUGCAUAGUUAAGUAUAGAGGUCACCAUACUGUUAAACAAGAAACAAGCUUGACUAUGUUCAAUAUAAAUUCGACCUGUUGAUACUGUUUGUAUUGCUUUUUCGUUAUUUAAUAUUAAUAUCAGACUUUGGGUCAAUUAAAUUGGAUUGUAAUUAAUUAAAUUAUACAUUAAAUUACAAAAACGAUCAAUUACACGUCUAAUUAAAAAGUACACAGUUUUUGAAAUCUAAUUAAUUAAAUUAUAAUUACUUUACUAAUUAAAAGUAAUUAAUAAAAUUACACAUCACAUUUCAUCAUAAUAUUUUUUAACAAUAUUAAACAUGUAUAUAUAAUGCAUGUGCAUAAUUUUCAUGUAAGCAUACUUUAAGUGUUGCAUUUGAUAAUCAGUAGUAAUUUUAAUAUACAUGUUUUGUCAUUAGGGCUGCAUCUCUCUGGUCUAAACCCUUUGACAGCAAUUCUAAAUAGUCUUUCGACAGGAGCUGUAGCAGAUAUUACUUUGAUCAGAAAAUGGAAGUAUUAAUACUUCCAUGAUCAGAAGAUGUAUUGAUAGGAGAGGGAAUUUGUUCCUAUUAACUUGCCAAUACAUUAAGGGGUAUUUUAACAUCUCAAAAAUGAAGUCAUUUGAAUUAGACAUUAUAUGAAUAAAGAUAUUAUAAAUGAAUAAAAAACAUUUGUUUUACGUUAAACAUAUUAAAAAGUAUGCUUGUCACAAUAUUAAAAAAAUUUGUAUAAAAAAAUGUAUAUAAUGUCUAAAUAUUAGCAAUAUUUUUCUAAUUAGAUACAAUACAUGUACUAGUGGCAUUGUCCUUGAACAUUUUAAUCUUAUUGGUUACUGUUUGUUUUUACAGCUGUUAAUUUUAUUUCUAUGAUCUUUUUGUGUGUACUAAUUUGACAAAAUGAUUGUGUGCAGAGUUUUUAAAUUCUAAAUGAACUAAGACAGAUUUUUCACCCAUUUGUUGUUUUGUUAACAAGGUAAUUAUUUGUUUAUCAAACUAUUUAGUUAAAGAUUUUCUUAAAAACUGAACAACACUAAUAUAUGAUUCUCACUUUUUUUUUUAAAUUAAGACUAAAUAAAUAUAUUUAGAAAAAACUCUGUGGGUCAAAUACAUAAUAUAAAAACUUCAGAAAAAUUACAGACUUCAUAUAUUAAGAAAGUAUGUGAUAUCAAUAUUUGAAAAAAUAAAUAUAAUUUUCAAUUUUUAUUAUUAAACAUCAAUCCUUAUCAUUAACACAAUAAACGUACAUGUAAUUGAAAUGUAGUUCAAAAGUAAUUGAGCAGUACAUGCUUUUUUCAUUGUAAUUAAUUAAAUUACCAUUACAUAUAAUUUAAAAAUGCUCAAUUACACUUUACAUGUACAAGGAAAAUUGUAAUACAUUACAAUUAAUCACCAUUUGAUUAAUAUGGGACUUGAUUAUUUGGAAUAUCUACUAAUUUACACUUAUUCGCACUACAUUUGUAUGAACAUCAAGAGUAUUCUCCUCAAAUAUGUACAGGGAAGAUUUAGCUAGCUCUAAUUGUAUAAUUGUAUUGCUGAUAUUCCCUCCGAUUUGAAUCUAGUGUUACAUUAGGUAUUUAUAUGACAGAACAACCGGGUAUUCCUAAUUGUUGGAAGAAUUUAUAUAAACAGAAGUAGUAUACCUAAAACGACAAAGUUAUUUUUCAUUUACCUGUAUAUAAUAUGAAAACCAUUUUUUCAAUAGUGAUUGUUUUCGAAGGGUUAAAUAUUUCGCGGUGGUGUCUUGCCAUGACUUUGUUUGGACUUGUUUGUUUUGCUUUUUGGCCAUGAAUGUUUGUCCCUACAUUUUAUUAACUAUGCAUUUGCAUUCAGGUAUCGCAGAUCGAAUUUAUUCGUUCAUAGUGUGUUAAUUUACGUUUUUGGAUUGAGUGAAAAGUAAAAUCACAAAAAUACUGAACUUAGAGGAAGAUCAAUUGGGAAAGUCCAUAAUCACAUGGCAAAAUCAAAUAACAAAACGCAUCAAAAACGAAUGGACAAAAACUGUCAUAUUCCUGACUUGGUACAGGCAUUUUCAAAUGUAGAAAAUGGUGGAUUAAACCUGGUUCUAUAGCGCUAACCCUCUCAAGCCUUCCAAUUGAUAUUUUAUCGUGUGUUUUUCUAUGUUGUGAUGUUAUGCUGUUGUUUCAGAAAAGGGAAAAGGUUUGGUACCAUUAAAACGUUUAAUCCCGCUGCAAAUGUUUGCACCUAUUCUAAGUCAGGAAUCUGAUGUAUAGUAGUUGUCGUUUGUUUAUGUAAUUUAUACGUGUUUCUUGUGUCUUUUUUUACAUAGAUUAGGCCGUUGUUUUUCCCGUUUGAAGGGUUUAACACUAGUAAUUUUGGGGCCCUUUAUAGCUCGGUGUUUGGUGUGAGCCGAGACUCCAUGUUGAAGGCGGUACAGUGACCUAUAAUGAUUUAUUUUCAUAAAUUCUAAUUUGGAUAGAGAGUUGUCUCAUUGGCACUCACACCACAUCUUCCUGUAUCUAUUAGUUGACUUUAUUUAUUGGUAUAUGUUGCACAUGUACACAUGACAUGAUUCAUUUAUGCUAUUUCAAUCAAGUCCUUCUUUUGUCCAGCAUUCCAUCACCAAAUUUAAAAACAAAAAAUACAUUUGUUUUGUCAACUCUAUUUGUGCCAAGAGUGACACCAAAAAGUGUCAUUUCAGAGCACGUGAAUGCACCAACGCUUUUAAUGAUGUCGCGUUGCUCUAGUUUCAGCUAUCUAUUAUGUGUUUUGUAGAAUGCUUUUAUGCGUCUGUUUAUCGAUUAUUUGUUGACCAUGAUUUUGGUUUUUGUUUUCCGAAGUACUGGUUUUGACUGUCUAUGAUAACUAAUAACUUUAUGUGCAAUAUAAUAUAAACCUUAUACGCGUUAUUUUAUUCUGAACCCUUGGAAGACAAUAAAUGUCUAGUUGCAAACAUUAAAAAAUCAUAUGUGAUCUGUUGUUAGGUGUAAAAUAUAAAUUAAUAUUCCAUUGGAGACAUCUUCAUUGGUAAGCGGGAAAAUUCGUUAUCGCUAUCAAUUGUUUUUACCUAUAUGCAGUAACGCAUCUGUCUUUCAUGACUGCAGAAAAUCUUUAAUAUUAUCUCAUGAAGCAAUAUAAAUAUUUUUUUUACUUUUUAGAUGCACUUACUGUCAUAAUAAAGAGGCAAGUCAGAUUUUAUGUUACGACAAUGACUUUGAAAUAUUCAUCUGCGAUAAUUGUUUAAUAGAACAUCGAAUGAAAAACAAAAAUCAUAAGUGUUUCUAUCAAUCCAAAAUUUUACGCGAAUAUGAACUA